RNAcentral lists this ribosomal RNA (292 nucleotides) under Citrobacter braakii. RNAcentral's name for it is "partial 16S ribosomal RNA". It matches the Rfam family "Bacterial small subunit ribosomal RNA", at positions 136 to 430 of the family's 1533-position model. Lineage: Bacteria; Pseudomonadati; Pseudomonadota; Gammaproteobacteria; Enterobacterales; Enterobacteriaceae. The record is from RNAcentral.
GAGGGGGAUAACUACUGGAAACGGUAGCUAAUACCGCAUAACGUCGCAAGACCAAAGAGGGGGACCUUCGGGCCUCUUGCCAUCGGAUGUGCCCAGAUGGGAUUAGCUAGUAGGUGGGGUAACGGCUCACCUAGGCGACGAUCCCUAGCUGGUCUGAGAGGAUGACCAGCCACACUGGAACUGAGACACGGUCCAGACUCCUACGGGAGGCAGCAGUGGGGAAUAUUGCACAAUGGGCGCAAGCCUGAUGCAGCCAUGCCGCGUGUAUGAAGAAGGCCUUCGGGUUGUAAAG